Molecule: ribosomal RNA, 492 nt
Filed under: uncultured bacterium
Lineage: Bacteria
Description: partial 16S ribosomal RNA
Rfam family: Bacterial small subunit ribosomal RNA
Source: RNAcentral
AGUGAACGCUGGCGGUAGGCCUAACACAUGCAAGUCGAACGGCAGCACAGUAAGAGCUUGCUCUUACGGGUGGCGAGUGGCGGACGGGUGAGGAAUACAUCGGAAUCUACUUUUUCGGGGGGGAUAACGUAGGGAAACUUACGAUAAUACCGCAUACGACCUACGGGUGAAAGCAGGGGAUCUUCGGACCUUGCGCGAUUGAAUGAGCCGAUGUCGGAUUAGCUAGUUGGGGGGGUAAAGGCCCACCAGGGCGAGGAUCCGUAGCUGGUCUGAGAGGAUGAUCGGCCACAUUGGAAGUGGGCCACGGUCCAGACGGCUACGGUAGGCCGCAGUGGGGAAUAGUGGACAAUGGGCGGAAGUCUGACCCAGCCAUACCGCGUGGGUGAAGAAGGCCUUCGGGUUGUAAAGCCCUUUUGUUGGGAAAGAAAAGCAGCAGGUUGAUACCCCGCUGUUCUGACGGUACCGAAAGAAGAAGCACCGGCUAACUUCGUG